This is a long non-coding RNA of Physeter macrocephalus (sperm whale), 3671 nucleotides long. RefSeq lists it as uncharacterized. The record is from RefSeq and is a predicted model, not a curated record. The transcript is spliced from 3 exons. NCBI's taxonomy places the organism in Eukaryota, Metazoa, Chordata, Mammalia, Artiodactyla, Physeteridae.
CGCUCCAGAAGUGCCGCGAUCGGGCUGACUGAUGCGAGGAGGAGGGAACAAAUCCAGCUACAGGAUGUACGGGUCCUCACGUGAUGGAAGUCUCUUUCAGGAGUGGCAGUAAAUGAAAAGGAGACAUAAGGAGUCCUAUGUGAUGCAGUGUCAAAGAUGACAUCUAUCAUAGGCCAUAGGGUAUGGUCGAAUUAAAAAACCAAAACAAAACAGGUAACAGGAACCUCACCCAUGAAACACCAAAGCGCAGUCAACACUGAAUAUAAGGGUCUUACGAAUGACCAGAUGCAGAAAACGUACACUGUUGUCAGGGAUUAGGCAGAUCCAAACUGAACUGAAAAUUUUCAGACCAAGAGUUGAGGUAUGAACUAAGCAGCAAGAACUGAGAACCGUUCACAUGCUGUCCUACUGACUUGAUGAAAGUUGCAAGCCUUUUAAAACCGCUUGGGCUGUCUCUGGGUUCCCCUGAUCCAUAAGACAAGUGAGAUUCAGGAUCACCUCAUAAGAUACAUAAACCUGAAAAACGUCCAACGAAAUUGAAAAAUACAUUCUAACUUUGUCUCUGUCAUAUAAAACCACUUAAUAAUAUGUGUUACGAUUUAAAUGCAGCAUAUAUAGUACUUCCUCAACGACGCCUGAUGGAAGGAAAAAACGUUCUACAUCUCGGCCUCAACAUUCCAAAACAUCUUCAUUCCACUGAGGAAAUGCACCCGGGCUUAUAAGUAAGCAUCUUAUUCACCUAGUCAUGCCCACACGAUAACUCAACCCGUCUAAUGCUUUAUUCCUCAGACAAGUCUACCUAGCCCGUACCCUGUUUCAAAUAUCGUGCAGAUUCUACUUCGUAAAUCCUCAACUUUCUUCCCCGGCUUCCUAAACACGAAUCUUCCCGGAGUAAAUUCACGCUGUAAACACACCCAGGGCUUUGUUUUAUACAGAUUUCUCCCCCCUGGUCCCAAGAGAGGUUGCUUUCCCUUCUAGAUCCAACCGAGGCCAAACACUGCCAUCUGGGGUCACGGCUUCCUCUCGCCGCUGCCGCCGUGGAGCGGACUCGCUGGGUUCCGGAUUCCCCGCGCCGGCCCGAGCCUCGCACCCCUUCCUGUCUCCGUCUGCCCACGGUUUGCCUUUCCAGGUCGCGAGGGAAUCAGCGUAAAACGUGGGGUGGUACAGACGGGAGUUCCAAUCGAGCUGCCUGCCUUGGAGGCUGCCAGACAGAACACCAUGAAUGCACUCUUCCCUGAGCCCCGUGAGGAGUGUUCCAUUGUCCACCCAUUUUACAUAUGAGGAAACUGAGGCACAUCGCUGCUAGGAAGUGAAAGGACCUGGAUCUGAACCCAUAAGCAGCUGGAGCCUGCAGCCUGGGCUGUUAAUCACAUCGCACCAAUGCCUCGCGCCAGAGACGAGAGGAGGAUGCCAAGUGAAACCAGUGUAAUCAUCCAAGUGAAAUACUCAGACUUAUGCAGAAAAUUAACUGUCCCUUACUAAAUUUUGCAAAUUCUGCGUUCUUAGUUCAGAUAUUUCAGGACGGGUAGGUAUGGUUUUGGUAACCAGUCUGCUGUCUGAUGGAUCUGUGGGGGCUGAUGUGGAAGGAGGUGGGUCCUCUCCAGACUCUAACAAGGCUCCUGCCAGCAGCCACCACCCUAACAUCUUUUAAAAAUUCCUCUUCUGACACUUGCAAAGGGCCUCAUAACAUUUCUACUUCCUCGAUCAAGUUUCCUUUAGCUAACUGGUACACACAACUAUCCGUUUGUUUUGUAUUAAUAGUGUGCUGGACUGUAUAUAAAAUACAUUAUGCCAGCAUUUGCCCAGUAGAACUGCUACCUUAAAAUUUAGCAUUUAUAUUGUGCCUUAGGCUCGUCCUUUCUCCCUUUUGACCUCCUUUUCAAGUGACCCUAAGAACUGAAUGGUCUCCCAGCUCCACUUAGCCAAGGCUUACAUUCUUAGAGUUCCCCAAAGCUGAUGCCACCAGGGCAUUGGUGCUUGUCCUGAACCAGGAGGAUCCAGAACUCUCACCAAGUGGCGAGGAAAUAAAACAAAAACAGAUGGAAGCCAAGUCAGCCUCGGUCACAGCCGUCACCCAUUACCCUGCUUUCUCUCUGAGUGUCAUUUAGUGUUCUGGUCUGCCUAUCAGAUCGUGACACCGGGAGUGAUCCCAGUCUGCCCAGAGAUUUUGCCCAGACUUAGCCACCAAAGGGCACUGCAGGCUGUCCCAGGGCAGGGACAGGCAGUGACCUAACGUAAAAGGAAGAGGGCAGCCAUCCCCUCCAGUCCUCUCCAUCCCCACAUCCAGGAACAGGUAGGAAAAGGGACAGACUGGAUAAGUGCCCCCUGGAAUCUGGGAUUCAUAGGGGAGGGUUUCCCUGGCACGUGGCCCUUUUCCUUGUGCCCAUGUCACAAAGGGCAUGUCUAAAGCUUGGGAACAUUAUUUUCCAGAGGAUCGGGUCAGGGAAAGAGAAUGAAUUCUCUGUGUCCAGACCAGUAACUGGCUGGCACGCUCCUGAACCAAGGGACACCAUUUGUAAACGUGUCCCUAAGGAAGGAACAGAAAUGAUACAAAGGGUUGCUUCCUAAUACACUUAAUAAUGUAUGUUUAACAAGCAAUAGAGAAUGCAUGCUUCAGCUAUUUUACUAUUAUUUUACCAUUUGUCUCUGUUCUUCAAUAGGUUUUUCCCCAUUAACAGCACAAGGACAAGGUCUUUUACAGAGUUAUUUUUCUAAUAAAACAUAAAUAAGAGAAAUUUUUGCAUCGUGUCACACAGCAAUUUAGAACUAAUUCCAGGGUUGCCUGGAUAAAACUAUGGUUCAAAGAGUGCCCGUAUGACAGACCAAGGGCUACAGUGAUUUCUCUUAAGGAAAUUACUAAUGUUAUUUAAUUGCUUUUUAUUUUCCCCAUGAAGAAUCAUUCCACAAGCAUUUAAAACCCACAUAUAUCUGUCAUAUGGGUCCUUUAAAGAGACCAAGCUUUCCGUUAAAUAGGGUUCCUCUCCUAAUACUGUCUCCUUAAAUUACCAAGAUCAACCAAUAAAUAUUUACGUUCCCUGGAAGAUUUGUGACUGUGCACAGGAUUUUUUUUAAUUAGCUAAUUUAACAGGUGACUGGCACUGAUCUGAGAAAUGCUUCCCACCAUCCACCCCAUUUCCAACUCAAUCACUGACCUUAGAAAGUUACUUCCCUUCUCCAUUCAUUUCCCUACAAAAAUCCAGGCUAAGGCUGAGCCCUCAGACAAUUCAGACAAGAUUAAUGGAUGCACUGUACAAUCCCACCCCCCACCCGCAGAACAUAGGGGCUAAAAAUACAUAAAAUGCCAGUAUAAUUCGGGCCUACAACCAGGACUUUUGUAAUUUAAAAAUAUUUCUCUUAACAAGACCAAAUCUCUCCCUUGGUUUCCUUCCUUACCAGAGCACCCAAAAGACCAAAUCCAAAGCUUACUCAAAGUGGGAUGAUAAAGCAUACAGUAAAGAGGCGAAAGAGGAUUAAAGUUAGCAGCUCUGUUCACAAUGAUCAAAUGGGGGAAACAAAUCAAAUUCUGUGCAUUGAUGAAUAGGUAAACAAAAUGUGGUCUCCAUCCAUACAAUGGAAUAUUAUUCAGCCAUAAAAAGGAACGAAGUGCUGACACAAGCUACAAUGUGAUGAAUCUUGAAAACAUGAUGCUAAGUGGAACAAGCCAGACACAA